GACGAACGCUGGCGGCGUGCUUAACACAUGCAAGUCGAGCGGUAAGGCCCUUUCGGGGGUACGACGAGCGGCGAACGGGUGAGUAACACGUGGGUGACCUGCCCUUACGCUCUGGGAUAAGCCUGGGAAACGUGGGUCUAAUACCGGAUAUGACUCCAUAACGCAUGUUGUGGGGUGGAAAGCCUUGUGCGGCUAGGGAUGGGCCCGCGGCCUAUCAGCUUGUUGGUGGGGUGAUGGCCUACCAAGGCGACGACGGGUAGCCGGCCUGAGAGGGCGACCGGCCACACUGGGACUGAGACACGGCCCAGACUCCUACGGGAGGCAGCAGUGGGGAAUCUUGCGCAAUGGGCGAAAGCCUGACGCAGCGACG
This 370-nucleotide ribosomal RNA is filed under the name uncultured bacterium. Its description in RNAcentral is "bacterial SSU rRNA". It matches the Rfam family "Bacterial small subunit ribosomal RNA", at positions 28 to 396 of the family's 1533-position model. The record is from RNAcentral.